Molecule: long non-coding RNA, 1158 nt
Organism: Chenopodium quinoa (quinoa)
Lineage: Eukaryota; Viridiplantae; Streptophyta; Magnoliopsida; Caryophyllales; Amaranthaceae
Exons: 5
Source: RefSeq, a predicted model, not a curated record
AAGUGUGACGCAGAACACUGAUAUUGGUUAUUUGCGUCGCUUUUUAAUAAAUAAGCGACGCAAAUAAUUAAGUCAUUUGCAUCUCUCUUUUAGUAACAAGUGACGCAAAUGAUUUUGUGAAUUAUUUGCGUAAUUAUUUGCGUAAUUAUUUGCGUCACUUGUUACUAAAAGUGAGACGCAAAUAACUAUUCCAAAACUGAAAAAAAAUAAAAAAAACCUUUCUAACUUUUCUUCUUUUCGCUAGAAUUUAUCAUCAACGUUCCCAAAACUUUUCUUCAUUCGUUCUUCUCAACAACAAUUCUUUCCCAGCAACAAUUCGUUCCCAGCAACUGAAUUCGAGCAAAAAUUCGAAGGUAAUUAAGCUACCUCCUUAUUCGUUCCCAGCAGCAGCAUAAGACGAAUUUUCGAGCAACAAACGCACAGCAAAUUCGAAGGUUUAAUUUGAACCCUAAUUUAGAGCAUAAACGAGCAAAUUUGAAGGUUUAUUUUGAGAGCAAAAAGAUGAGGAAAAGAUUUGGAUACAUAAGCAAAAACGAAGCUCUAUAUAAGGAAGUGGAGCAACUUAAGCACAAACUCGUAGAAAUUGAGAAGCUAGCAAAGGGACAAGGUAUAGCUGGUAUUUUCAACUUCAGAUUUUUUGGACAGUCAAGAACUGAAAAGUCAGCACAAGGAUACUUGCUAGCCUGAUCAACAAGAAAAGCAGCUGCUGAUUGCUCAAUUGCCUUUCCAUUUGGAGGAGGAAAGUUUUGGUUACCCAGACCAUCCGCCCCGUGAAUAGUUUUGUGCUUCAGGAAGACGAGUUUCAUCGGCUAGCAGAUUCCACCAUACAUCAUCUGCUCGAGAAACUCGAGGAUUUUUCAAGAUCUACACCGUACACAAAUGAGGAGAUAAACGAGGUUCGAGAUAUUUGGACAGUCUAUUUUGUAUGCAAUGUUGAACUUUAGAUCUACACUUACAAAACUCCAUUUACUUGUUAGACUCUUGUUCUAUUUGUUAAGAUUGACAUGAAUGUAUGUAUUUUGUUUACCAACAAUUUGGGUUGGUGUUGGUGAUUGUGUUGAAUGAUGACUAUAAUGUCAAUGGAAUUGAGUUGUAAAUUUAUUGGACAGGUUUUUGAUAUGAUGCCGUCAUUCCCAAUUUUAUGGGUAGGCCAAAUUA